This 693-nucleotide ribosomal RNA is filed under the name uncultured fungus. Its description in RNAcentral is "SSU rRNA". It matches the Rfam family "Eukaryotic small subunit ribosomal RNA", at positions 475 to 1171 of the family's 1831-position model. The record is from RNAcentral. Lineage: Eukaryota; Fungi.
AAAUAACAAUAUAGGGCUCUUUUGGGUCUUAUAAUUGGAAUGAGUACAAUUUAAAUCCCUUAACGAGGAACAAUUGGAGGGCAAGUCUGGUGCCAGCAGCCGCGGUAAUUCCAGCUCCAAUAGCGUAUAUUAAAGUUGUUGCAGUUAAAAAGCUCGUAGUUGAACUUCAGACCUGGCUGGGCGGUCCGCUUAACGGCGUGUACUGUCUGGCUGGGCCUUACCUCUUGGUGAGCCGGCGUGCCCUUUAUUGGUGUGCGUCGGGGAACCAGGACUUUUACCUUGAGAAAACUAGAGUGUUCAAAGCAGGCCUAUGCCCGAAUACAUUAGCAUGGAAUAAUAAAAUAGGACGUGCGGUUCUAUUUUGUUGGUUUCUAGAGUCGCCGUAAUGAUUAAUAGGGAUAGUUGGGGGCAUUGGUAUUGAGUCGCUAGAGGUGAAAUUCUUGGAUUGACUCAAGACCGACUAUUGCGAAAGCAUUUGCCAAGGAUGUUUUCAUUAAUCAAGAACGAAGGUUAGGGGAUCGAAAACGAUCAGAUACCGUUGUAGUCUUAACAGUAAACUAUGCCGACUAGGGAUCGGGCAAUUUCAAUUUUCAUGUAUUGCUCGGCACCUUACGAGAAAUCAAAGUCUUUAGGUUCUGGGGGGAGUAUGGUCGCAAGGCUGAAACUUAAAGGAAUUGACGGAAGGGCACCACC